Molecule: unclassified non-coding RNA, 338 nt
Filed under: soil metagenome
Description: partial contains 5.8S ribosomal RNA, internal transcribed spacer 2, and large subunit ribosomal RNA
Rfam family: 5.8S ribosomal RNA (bases 1-120)
Source: RNAcentral
GAUGAAGAACGCAGCUAAAUGCGAUAAGUAAUGUGAAUUGCAGAAUUCAGUGAAUCAUCGAAUCUUUGAACGCACAUUGCGCCCGGUAGUAUUCUGCCGGGCAUGCCUGUUCGAGCGUCAUUUCAACCAUCAAGCCCCAGCGCUUGUGUUGGGGGCCUGCGGCUGCCGCAGCCCCCUAAAAGCAGUGGCGGGCUCGCUAUCACACCGAGUGCAGUAGUUCAUCUUCUCUCCGGUCUUGUGAGGCGGGUUCCGGCCGUGAAACACCCCACUACAUUCAAGGUUGACCUCGGAUCAGGUAGGGAUACCCGCUGAACUUAAGCAUAUCAAUAGGCGGAGGA